AAAAACAUCAAGCACAGCUUGGUCUUGGGCGGGGUCUCCGGACCCGCCUGUAACCCGUUGGCGGCACCGUCCGGCUUUAAGCGUAGCAAGUUAAACCCUCGCUUCGGAGCCCGUACGGGACCGGCCCGGAUACAAUCUAAA
RNAcentral lists this unclassified non-coding RNA (141 nucleotides) under uncultured Dothideomycetes. RNAcentral's name for it is "sequence contains ITS2". The record is from RNAcentral. Lineage: Eukaryota; Fungi; Ascomycota; Dothideomycetes.